RNAcentral lists this ribosomal RNA (255 nucleotides) under uncultured bacterium. RNAcentral describes it as "partial 16S ribosomal RNA". It matches the Rfam family "Bacterial small subunit ribosomal RNA", at positions 524 to 777 of the family's 1533-position model. The record is from RNAcentral.
UACGAAGGGGGCUAGCGUUGCUCGGAAUCACUGGGCGUAAAGGGUGCGUAGGCGGGUCUUUUAAGUCAGGGGUGAAAUCCUGGAGCUCAACUCCAGAACUGCCUUUGAUACUGAGGAUCUUGAGUUCGGGAGAGGUGAGUGGAACUGCGAGUGUAGAGGUGAAAUUCGUAGAUAUUCGCAAGAACACCAGUGGCGAAGGCGGCUCACUGGCCCGAUACUGACGCUGAGGCACGAAAGCGUGGGGAAGCAACAGGG